RNAcentral lists this small RNA (297 nucleotides) under Drosophila mojavensis. RNAcentral describes it as "GI26931". Lineage: Eukaryota; Metazoa; Arthropoda; Insecta; Diptera; Drosophilidae. The record is from RNAcentral.
UUUCACCCUUUUUCCGAUUUUAUUAUAUUUAUAGUCGUGUAGGGCAGAAUAAUCGAACAAUUUGCUUUCGUUUACGUUAAUUGUUAUAAUUUAAUUCUCGGUGUCUGCUGGCCAUAUUCCAUUGUUUAUAAGUUUUACUAAGGAUUGUGCAAGUAGAGGAGUCGAUUAAGCGUGCCAGGGAAGGCGUUUUGUUUAUUUGCGUGUCCAAUAUGAGGGUAUGGAAUGCCGUUUAAAUACAGAAAUGAUGACAAUCAAACUGCUAACACAGCUUUAAUGCAGGAAAGCGUUUUAGUUAUU